This is a long non-coding RNA of Cynoglossus semilaevis (tongue sole), 680 nucleotides long. RefSeq lists it as uncharacterized. The record is from RefSeq and is a predicted model, not a curated record. NCBI's taxonomy places the organism in Eukaryota, Metazoa, Chordata, Actinopteri, Pleuronectiformes, Cynoglossidae. The transcript is spliced from 3 exons.
GCUAAAAUAUCGGAUAAUUGGCUCGUCUUAUCGACGCAACUUCCCUCCUUUGCUCCAUCACUCAGCUCCGGACUCCAGUGGCUGCCCUCGCUUCUCUGGCUGAAGUCGUAAAAGACCGGGAAAACAGCACGCUUUUCACUUCACUUCAAGACGACAGACUGAGCGUGGCUUGCCUCGCUAGCCUCUGAUUGGCUGCUGAGACUAGAUCGCCAUCAUGGGGUGGCCAGCUGCAGGUGGAGUGGGCUUUGGUGACAGGUCACUUCAUACAUGGGUGCUGCUGACAAGGGUCAAAGGAGUUAGGGGGUAAGAGAGGAUGGACAGAGUGACGAGAGUGGGAGGAGGAAUAGAGUUUCUUUCAUUGGACCUUUUUCUUGAGUGACAGGCAGAAUAGUGGGCUGGAGUCACACACCGUACAUUUACUAACAAAUCAGCAAUAUGACUAUGUAAUAAUAGUACUAUUAUAUAAUCAGGUAUAAAAACAGUGUAUGAAGUACCAUACUUUAGGUAAUUAAAUUUCACCAAGAUGCUAAGUUUCUGUGAUUUUAUGGAGUAAUGUGAAUACCGUAUCUUUCGGACUAUAAGGCGUGCUUAAAAUCCUUUAAUUUUCUCAAAAAUCGACAGUGCACCCUAUAACCCGGUGCACCUUAUGUAUUACUUCUGAUUGUGCUUACUGACCUCGA